UACGUAGGCAGCAAACGUUGUUCGGAAUUACUGGGCGUAAAGAGUGUGUAGGCGGUUCUGCAAGUUUGGUGUGAAAUCUCCCGGCUUAACUGGGAGGGUGCGCCGAAAACUGCAAAGCUAGAGUACUGGAGAGGAAAGCGGAAUUCCUGGUGUAGCGGUGAAAUGCGUAGAUAUCAGGAGGAACACCGGUGGUGUAGACGGCUUUCUGGACAGUAACUGACGCUGAGACACGAAAGCGUGGGGAGCAAACAGG
RNAcentral lists this ribosomal RNA (253 nucleotides) under uncultured bacterium. RNAcentral describes it as "partial 16S ribosomal RNA". It matches the Rfam family "Bacterial small subunit ribosomal RNA", at positions 524 to 776 of the family's 1533-position model. The record is from RNAcentral.